AUUGAACGCUGGCGGCAUGCCUUACACAUGCAAGUCGAACGGCAGCACGGACUUCUGUCUGGUGGCGAGUGGCGAACGGGUGAGUAAUGUAUCGGAACGUACCUUUCAGUGGGGGAUAACGUAGCGAAAGUUACGCUAAUACCGCAUAUUCUGUGAGCAGGAAAGCAGGGGAACGCAAGACCUUGCGCUGAUUGAGCGGCCGAUAUCAGAUUAGCUAGUUGGUGAGGUAAAGGCUCCCCAAGGCGACGAUCUGUAGCGGGUCUGAGAGGAUGAUCCGCCACACUGGAACUGAGACACGGUCCAGACUCCUACGGGAGGCAGCAGUGGGGAAUUUUGGACAAUGGGGGCAACCCUGAUCCAGCCAUGCCGCGUGAGUGAAGAAGGCCUUCGGGUUGUAAAGCUCUUUCGGCCGGGAAGAAAUCGCAUGGGUUAAUACCCUGUGCGGAUGACGGUACCGGCAUAAGAAGCACCGGCUAACUACGUGCCAGCAGCCGCGGUAA
RNAcentral lists this ribosomal RNA (500 nucleotides) under uncultured bacterium. RNAcentral's name for it is "partial 16S ribosomal RNA". It matches the Rfam family "Bacterial small subunit ribosomal RNA", at positions 30 to 523 of the family's 1533-position model. The record is from RNAcentral.